RNAcentral lists this long non-coding RNA (587 nucleotides) under Mytilus galloprovincialis (Mediterranean mussel). Lineage: Eukaryota; Metazoa; Mollusca; Bivalvia; Mytilida; Mytilidae. The record is from RNAcentral.
UGUACAAAAAUAUUAAAUUUAGUGGUUAUUUAAUCAUGAUUAGUAUAAUAUACAUGAUGAAAAGUUCGAAGAAUUAUGAAUAAUGUACCACAACAUCCGAUAAUAUACAUGAUGAAAAGUUCGAAGAAUUAUGAAUAAUGUACCAUAACAUCCGACUGGUGAAUUAAAUAACGCAGUGCAAUCCGUAAUAAAAACAAAAAUAUUUACAAUAUGCAUUGCCCAGCGUAAAUCAGCGUAUCCCUUUAAUUAAGCAGUACACCAUGUUUGGUAUUAUCAUAUCUAUUCCGUUCUGAUUGAUAUAUACGUUUAACUUUAUUAAUAGUACAUAUUGACGAUCCUUCAUAAAAUAGGCACGUAAACAUUGAUACUACUAUAUAAUAGAACUAUCCUUUUGGCUAGACAUCUACCAUCAAUCUUUUGAUCUUAAACCUUCACCCUAGCCACACAAAUACAUACAGACAUAGUAGAUGCCUAACAAAACUCAAGAAAUUCUUAUUUCUUUAUAUUCUCUACUGUAAAAUACCUACCUGAUUAGGAAUUUUGAAUAAUUGUGGCCAUUACACGCAGAUUUGAGAGUACUCAAAAUU